GCUGGUCUGAGAGGGCGAUCAGCCACACGGGCACUGAGACACGGGCCCGACUCCUACGGGAGGCAGCAGUGAGGGAUAUUGCGCAAUGGGCGAAAGCCUGACGCAGCAACGCCGCGUGGGCGAUGAAAGCCUUCGGGUUGUAUAGCCCUUUUCUGGGGGAAGAGGAAGGACGGUACCCCAGGAAAAAGUCCCGGCUAACUACGUGCCAGCAGCCGCGGUAAAACGUAGGGGGCAAGCGUUAUCCGGAUUCAUUGGGCGUAAAGCGCGUGCAGGUGGUGCUUUAAGUUGGGCGUGAAAUCUCCUGGCUCAACUGGGAGGGGUCGUUCAAUACUAAAGCACUUGAGGGCAGGAGAGGGAGGUGGAAUUCCCGGCGUAGUGGUGAAAUGCGUAGAUAUCGGGAGGAACACCAGUGGCGAAGGCGGCCUCCUGGCCUGCUCCUGACACUAAGACGCGAAAGCUAGGGGAGCGAACGGGAUUAGAUACCCCGGUAGUCCUAGCUGUAAACGAUGGAUACUAGGUAUGGGUGGCAUUGACCCCAUCCGUGCCGUAGCUAACGCGAUAAGUAUCCCGCCUGGGGACUACGGCCGCAAGGUUAAAACUCAAAGGAAUUGACGGGGGCCCGCACAAGCAGCGGAGCGUGUGGUUUAAUUCGAUGCUACACGAAGAACCUUACCAGGGCUUGACAUGCUGGUGGUACGGACCCGAAAGGGCGAGGACCCGCAAGGGAGCCAGCACAGGUGCUGCAUGGCUGUCGUCAGCUCGUGCCGUGAGGUGUCGGGUUAAGUCCCGUAACGAGCGCAACCCUUGCCGUAUGUUACAUGUGUCAUACGGGACCGCCGGCGAUAAGCUGGAGGAAGGUGAGGAUGAUGUCAAGUCAGCAUGGCCUUUAUGUCCUGGGCGACACACACGCUACAAUGGCCGGUACAAUGGGUAGCCAAGCCGCGAGGCGGAGCCAAUCCUCUAAAGCCGGUCUCAGUUCGGAUUGCAGUCUGCAACUCGACUGCAUGAAGGUGGAGUUGUUAGUAGCCGCGCGUCAGCCAUAGUGCGGUGAAUACGUUCCCGGGCCUUGUACACACCGCCCGUCACGUCAUGGGAGUCGGCAACACCUGAAGCCGGUGAGCUAACCGAAAGGAGGCAGCCGUCGAGGGUGGGGCUGGUGACUGGGACGAAGUCGUAACAAGGUAGCCGUAGCGGAAGCUGCGGCUG
RNAcentral lists this ribosomal RNA (1206 nucleotides) under metagenome. RNAcentral describes it as "bacterial SSU rRNA". It matches the Rfam family "Bacterial small subunit ribosomal RNA", at positions 286 to 1520 of the family's 1533-position model. The record is from RNAcentral.